RNAcentral lists this ribosomal RNA (408 nucleotides) under uncultured bacterium. RNAcentral's name for it is "partial 16S ribosomal RNA". It matches the Rfam family "Bacterial small subunit ribosomal RNA", at positions 355 to 778 of the family's 1533-position model. The record is from RNAcentral.
UGGGGAAUAUUGGACAAUGGGGGCAACCCUGAUCCAGCAAUGCCGCGUGUGUGAAGAAGGUCUUCGGAUUGUAAAGCACUUUCGACGGGGACGAUGAUGACGGUACCCGUAGAAGAAGCCCCGGCUAACUUCGUGCCAGCAGCCGCGGUAAUACGAAGGGGGCUAGCGUUGCUCGGAAUGACUGGGCGUAAAGGGCGUGUAGGCGGUUUACACAGUCAGAUGUGAAAAUCCCCGGGCUUAACCUGGGAGCUGCAUUUGAUACGUGUAGACUAGAGUGUGAGAGAGGGUUGUGGAAUUCCCAGUGUAGAGGUGAAAUUCGUAGAUAUUGGGAAGAACACCGGUGGCGAAGGCGGCAACCUGGCUCAAUUACUGACGCUGAGGCGCGAAAGCGUGGGGAGCAAACAGGAU